This 770-nucleotide ribosomal RNA is filed under the name uncultured archaeon. Its description in RNAcentral is "bacterial SSU rRNA". It matches the Rfam family "Archaeal small subunit ribosomal RNA", at positions 89 to 861 of the family's 1478-position model. The record is from RNAcentral.
CUCAGUAACACGUGGAUAACCUUCCCUUAGGACCGGAAUAACCCCGGGAAACUGGGGAUAAUACGGGAUAAGCCAUAGACGCUGGAAUGCCCUAUGGUUCAAAGCUCCGGCGCCUAAGGAUGGAUCUGCGGUCUAUCAGGUUGUAGUGGGUGUAACGUACCUACUAGCCGACGACGGAUACGGGUUGUGAGAGCAAGAGCCCGGAGAUGGAUUCUGAGACACGAAUCCAGGCCCUACGGGGUGCAGCAGGCGCGAACACUUUACAAUGCGGGAAACCGCGAUAAGGGAACCCCGAGUGCCAGCAUCAAAUGUUGGCUGUCCAGAUGAUUAAAAAUCAUUUGUUAGCAAGGGCCGGGCAAGACCGGUGCCAGCCGCCGCGGUAACACCGGCGGCCCGAGUGGUAGCCGUUUUUAUUGGGUCUAAAGGGUCCGUAGCCGGCCUGAUCAGUCCUUUGGGAAAUCUGGCAGCUUAACUGUCAGGCUUCUAAGGGAUACUGUCAGGCUUGGGACCGGAAGAGGUAAGGGGUACUCCAGGGGUAGGAGUGAAAUCUUGUAAUCCCUGGGGGACCAUCUGUGGCGAAGGCGCCUUACCAGAACGGGUCCGACGGUGAGGGACGAAAGCUAGGGGAGCAAACCGGAUUAGAUACCCGGGUAGUCCUAGCUGUAAACGAUGCUCGCUAGGUGUCAGACACGGUGCGACCGUGUUUGGUGCCGCAGGGAAGCCGUUAAGCGAGCCACCUGGGAAGUACGGUCGCAAGGCUGAAACUAAAG